RNAcentral lists this transfer RNA (75 nucleotides) under Persicimonas caeni. RNAcentral's name for it is "Bradymonadales bacterium YN101 tRNA-Cys". It matches the Rfam family "tRNA". Rfam says of the family: Transfer RNA (tRNA) molecules are approximately 80 nucleotides in length. Their secondary structure includes four short double-helical elements and three loops (D, anti-codon, and T loops). Further hydrogen bonds mediate the characteristic L-shaped molecular structure. tRNAs have two regions of fundamental functional importance: the anti-codon, which is responsible for specific mRNA codon recognition, and the 3' end, to which the tRNAs corresponding amino acid is attached (by aminoacyl-tRNA synthetases). tRNAs cope with the degeneracy of the genetic code in two manners: having more than one tRNA (with a specific anti-codon) for a particular amino acid; and 'wobble' base-pairing, i.e. permitting non-standard base-pairing at the 3rd anti-codon position. The record is from RNAcentral. Lineage: Bacteria; Deltaproteobacteria; Bradymonadales; Bradymonadaceae.
GGCGGCGUAGCCAAGUGGUAAGGCAAGGGCCUGCAAAGCCUUGAUUCACCGGUUCGAAUCCGGUCGCCGCCUCUA